Molecule: long non-coding RNA, 904 nt
Filed under: Solanum tuberosum (potato)
Lineage: Eukaryota; Viridiplantae; Streptophyta; Magnoliopsida; Solanales; Solanaceae
Description: long non-coding RNA (STUB_LNC011800)
Source: RNAcentral
GUGGUAUUAAUCUCCUUAGAGGAUUCAACAUGUUGAUAUUUAGAUCUAAGAAAAGGAAUUUAAUUAAUGCUAACCACAAUACUUGAAUGAUGUUUGGAAAUUGAAGAUAAAAUUGUGGUAAUGAGGAUGAAGAGGUUUGGUGAACAACCUAGAUUCAUUCAAUUUUUCAGAAUGGAACACAUGAAUGAAGAAGAACACCUUGUAAGCUAUUGGAAGUUUACAGUUCCGAUGCAUCAUUUCUCUAUGUGAUAACGACCUUGGAAACUUUCCUCCAACAAUUGUUUUCUCUCGAUUCCACCUAGAAACCCACUAUAUCCACCGGUAUACACCUUUGCAGAUAAGGAAACGAAGAUUAGAAAGAAAUGAAGAACAAAAUCAUAUUAGAACAAAGGAAAACUAUACUUACUUCUGUGAGUUGAGAAGAAAAGGAAGCUUCAUCAUCAUAAUAAGUAUUGAUUACCCACAACAAAAGGAAAAAGAAGCUCAGGUUAUCAGAAGCUCCCAGCGGCGAUAUAGAGGGAGAUGAUCAGGAGCUCAAAAUGGAAAACCCUACUUCUUAGUGCUGAUAUAUAAAAGGAGGUGGAUCCUUUGGACUGGGCCUAUUUUUUGUUUUCUAUUUUCGUUAUUUUCUUUUCCUUUUGGGUUCACUUGGCCCAUUUUGUACAUAAUUGAGAUAUAAAUAAUAGAGAAAAUUACUUAAUUACACGACUUAAGCUAACAUAAUAUCUAAAGUCCCUAUCAUUUGAAUUAAUUACAAAAAUUCCUUUUUUUCUUCUCUCUUAACAUUCGGAUAUAUCACUCCACCUCUAUUAGAUAUAUUACAACUUCGUUUGUUUACAAUGUAUUGAUACAAAUGUUAUUGUUGAUUAUAACUGUCAAUAUGGGUUGACCUACUCCAUCUGGG